AACGAACGCUGGCGGCAGGCCUAACACAUGCAAGUCGAGCGCGCCCUUCGGGGUGAGCGGCGGACGGGUGAGUAACGCGUGGGAACGUGCCCUUUUCUACGGAAUAGCCUCGGGAAACUGAGAGUAAUACCGUAUACGCCCUUUGGGGGAAAGAUUUAUCGGAAAAGGAUCGGCCCGCGUUGGAUUAGGUAGUUGGUGGGGUAAUGGCCUACCAAGCCGACGAUCCAUAGCUGGUUUGAGAGGAUGAUCAGCCACACUGGGACUGAGACACGGCCCAGACUCCGACGGGAGGCAGCAGUGGGGAAUCUUAGACAAUGGGGGCAACCCUGAUCUAGCCAUGCCGCGUGAGUGAUGAAGGCCUGAGGGUUGUAAAGCUCUUUCAGCUGGGAAGAUAAUGACGGUACCAGCAGAAGAAGCCCCGGCUAACUCCG
RNAcentral lists this ribosomal RNA (431 nucleotides) under uncultured bacterium. RNAcentral describes it as "partial 16S ribosomal RNA". It matches the Rfam family "Bacterial small subunit ribosomal RNA", at positions 29 to 505 of the family's 1533-position model. The record is from RNAcentral.